AACAAAGGACUCAGUGUAUCAAUUGGCACUUUAUAAAUAUGUAACUAAACAUUGGCUCCUUCCCCAAUCUAGAAGUAACAAUUCUGGGCACAAACAAUGCAAGUUCUGUUGAAAUUGGUCCGCUUUUAAGCUUCCGCGUAGAAACAACAGGUGGUUACUACAGACAGGCAAUCUGCAACAUAUUGAUUCCAGAGCAAUCCAAUUUAUUAAUUAACAGGGUAUCUCUGCAAUAAAUGGAUUAUAGAUUGCUAUGAAUAAGGUCAACAAAAUAAGCAUAUUAGAUACAGGAUCCAGAUAUUCUAAAUGGCAUAGGAGCAGUGCCAACAACAACAAGAACAACAACAAGAACCACAGGCAACCUACAAAGAUCCUUUUAAAAAUGCCAGCAGACUGGAAGGAAGCUGACCACAUGCAUAAGAGGAGACACUUCCCGUAUCUUUGCUGGUUGUACAGAAGUGAGCAUAUUGAUAGGUAAAUUGGUAGAUAAAUCUUGUCACAGAGAAUGGCUUACAAUGUUUUUGAAAGUGAUGCUAAGACAAGCUGGACAUAGUCAAAUGCCCUCUCUUGCAUCUGAUCACUUCAGCUACAGAGUUAUGGACUCUUUCUCUUGUUCUGUAGGUAACAUGAAUGAUGAUUUCUGUAUCUUAACCUGUUUGCAAUCUUUCCAUAGGAAAUAAUGGCAUGUGCUUUGUGCUUGGGUAGCAUUUAAACACGCUAUUGACAGGAAUAGCAAGGAAUGGUGCUGAAAUCUGUAAUUAACUAGUUCUGUAUGUUAAUUUGUCAAGCUUCUUAUGCUUGCCUGUAUGAGCAGCAUAUCAUCUAAAAGUUCUUCCCUCCUUCUUUUCAAUUCUCUGACUCAUAAUUGAAAAGAUUAUAUGCACGCCCCAUCAGUGUCCAGCAGACCAAAUGCUAUAGGGCUGGCCAUAGCUCAGUGGUCAAGCACCUGCUAUGUAAGCAGAAGAUUCUAGGUUCAGUCCUUGGCAUCUCCAGGUAGUGUUGGAAGAGAAUCCUGCCUGAAAUCCUAGAGAUCUUCUGCCAGUCAGUGUAGACAGUACUGAGCUAGAUGGCUCCCAGUACAUUUCCGAGCACAAUUCAAAGUGCUGGUGCUGAUCUUUAAAGCCCUAAACGGCCUCAGCCCAGCAUACCUGAAGGAGUGUCUCCACCCCCAUCGUUCUGCCUGGAUACUGAGGCCCGGCGCCGAGGGCCUUCUGUCAGUUCCCUCACUGCGAGAAGCCAAGUUACAGGGAACCAGGCAGAGGGCCUUCUCAGUAGUGGCACCUGCCCUGUGGAACACCCUCCCACCAGAUGUCAAAGAGAAGAACAACUACCAGACUUUUAGAAGACAUCUGAAGGCAACCCUCUUUAGGGAAGCUUUUAAUGUUUAACAGACCACUGUAUUUUAAUACUCUGUUGGAAGCCGCCCAGAGUGGCUGGGGAAACCCAGCCAAAUGGCUGGGGUAUAAAUAAUAAAUUCUAUUCUAUUCUAGAUGGACCAAUGGUCCAAUUCAAUAUAAGGCUAUGUUCAGAUGUUGAUUGUUGUAAAUAGACUACCCAGGGCUAAAUGAUGGUUUGGCUUAGCAUUAUGCCUAAGCCCAAGCUUGUGGUUUGUCUCCCUUAGACAAACCACAAGUGGUAUACAAAAAACAAACCUUGGUUACAGCUCAACAUCUGGAGUGAGAUAAACCACAAGCCUGGGUUCACAUGUAACACUAAUCCAAACCAUAGGUAGCUCAGCAACAGCAAAACCAAGGGACAAGCACUGAACCUGCACAUUUGCUCAUUCGUGCUAAUCCAUAAUUUGGCUUAUAUUAGGUGCAAACCAGAUCAUUGUGUGCUACAAAAUGCACACACACACACACACACACACACACACACACACCCCUAGACCAGUGUCAUCAGAUUAAUGUUUGUGCAGCUCUGAAGACAAACUUCUCUGUCUGGUUCCAUUACACAUACAGCGUCCAGGGAAUACUGUACUGCAGGGAUGUUUAUUUUCAGUGACAGUAACAUAUCUCUCAGUCUGCAAAUAGCCACUGCAGCAGUUCAUUCUUAGCAGCAUGUUCGUCCUUUGCCUUAUAUCUGAGUUGGGUUUCAGAGCUUGUGGGAUGUGUAGCAGGUGUUUGCAGGUGGAACCAGCAAGCAUAUUCUGGUGUCACUGGCAAGAAUUCAUAAGACAACAUCAUUCCCCUGCUUCUGCUUAAUGUGUGAGAGGCAGCAGCUAUGCAUCUAUCUGCUAUCUGCUGGCCAGUAGCUACACAUUCAGCAUUAAUGUGAAAGGGUCCUACAUACAUACGGAUAUGUGUGGUGGCUGCUGUAUGUGAAUGGGAACCAGGGUGGGCCAGAGUUUCUGCUUGCAUGGAGGAAUUGCAUAUGCAUAUCGUUGUGUGCAGUGUCCCUUCAUACCAAUGCAGAAGGUACAGCCACAGGAGGAGAGGUGCCCCUUUUGGGGUGUUGCCAGUAGUCAUUAUCAUGUUGUCCUUGUUGCAUGUAUGGGGAGGGGUCAUUUGAACACCCCUUAGUCCUCUGCUCUUUUUAGAGUAAAAAUUCAGGAAGAUGUGUCCUGUUUCUUCCAAGAGCUUCUAUCAAUUUAUACAAAUAGUGUUACCUCCAAUCUCCACCAAGCAUAGCAAAAUCCCAGGUAGUUACAGGCAGUCACCGAGGGUUGUGUUUCCAUUGGGAAUGCAAGGCAUGGUGGAGGCUUGUGUCUUUAAGAAAUAUGGUUUACUUUACACAUAUUUACACCUAAAGUCUUCAAUAGAGAGCUGCAGAGUUUACAGCAUUCACAUUUCGAAGGGCUUGUUCCCCAUAGUAUUAGAUUCCAGUACAUCUCUGUGUCGCUGUCCCAGCCUGCCUAGAUGGUUCUGACCUUCAGCACCUGCAUGGAGUUCUACUUAUUUCCCCCUUCUUGUUCCCAGAACACUUUGCUCCAAGAAACUCCUCCCCAUCCGCUCACUCCCCUAUUCCAAGCCUAGUUUUAAAAGGUGAGAAUUUUAAACCGAUGACAUCAUUCACCAUAACUUUUGCAACCUCUGCUGGCCCAAGGAUUUCUCUGUGAUGAGCCACCAAGACCUUUCAUCGUGUUAGUGAUCUCUAUCCCACGUGAAGCCCUGGCUUGUAUUUUUCCACCGGCCUGGAAUCUUCCCUUCAAUACUCCAAAAAUUAUCUAAAUUCUGCCAUUUUACUAAUUUCUAACAUUCACUAACUCUAGAUCUGUAACAAGAUUUAUGAUCCAACCUUGGCCUUGUGGUUCCUGGUACUGGAGAUGCCUUCAUUAAUAAAAUAAUUGAUGGGAGAGGGAAUUGCCACUGCUGUCCUUUUUGGGGAGCUAGUCAUUAAAAAAUGCAUUUCUGUUGCUUUUUCUGAGAGAUGUUACAAGUUGCUUCAAUCUUGGCAUAUGAUGAAAGCCCAUACAUCUCCUCUGCCCGAGAUGAAUGAUUUAUACCUGUUUGGGAUCAAAGUUGUGAGAGUUCUCUGUGGUUUCUCCUGUUCAUUGCUCAGUAGAAGCUGGACUGGUCCUAUCAUUAGGCUGAAUGAGGUGGCUGCCUCAGGCAGUAAAUGCUGCUGGUGGGCAGUAGUAGCAGCCUGCACCUUCCACUGUUCCACUUGAGUUUCCUUAGAGAACAGAACUGUGUGUGCCAUGCACCACUGAGCCUGUUGUUCUUAAGUGGAAGGUGCAGUCCCAUUGCCAGGACUGAAGUAAGAUUCAGCUGCAAGUCUUUACAGAUUCUGUAAAUGGAAUUGAGGGGGGUGGGGGGAAGAGAGUGAUAUAUAGGGCCAGCUCUGAUAUAUGGUUCAAAUUCAUCAAACCAAUUUGGACUGGCAAAGUGUGUACAGGAAGAUUUAAAGUGCUGUGGAAUUCUCUACCUAUGAGGGGCUUGUAGACAGAUAGUUUGACUCCUUCCUACACACGGCAUGGUCCACUGUGCAGAACACAGCUCACUAGUUAUAUGUGGUAGCCCGUUUGGAGCCUGAUGAACUUGCUGUUUAUGCCGCUUGCCUGGAACUCUAAAAAAUAAAAUAAAAUGGGACUGUCAAGCAGCUUUACAUGGCUGGAAGUUUGUGUUUGACUCAGAAGGUCACAAUUUGUGCAGGGCUGCACUAGAGUAGGGAGAAUGGGCUUUGACUCCUUCUGCUUCUGGUUUGAGCAGGCGACCUUCAGGUCCAUGCUAACUCCAUGUUUUUAACUGAGAAGAGCCCUGGUGAAGGAACAAACGGCUUCCUAACAGUGCUCUUACCAGAGUAUCAAAAAGCCUUGUGUGCCACACUAACAACUUGAUUUCCUUCAUGGGCAAUCUUUUUACUUUCCAAGCCACGCUCUCUCAGGAGUAAUAUGUUUGGGGCUGCAUGCUGACAGAGUGUGGCUAACUACAAUUGUAGGUGGUGUUGGAGCCAAAACUGGGUGGAGCCACUCCAUUUUUUUUCUCCCUCUUUCUGUUACUCCCCCUCUUCCUCCCCCUACGUAGUGGGCUGCUGGGGGAGGGAAAGAUCACAUUUGCCAGAGGCAUGAACUGAUCACUUGCGGACAGCUUUUGAGCCUAGGCACAAGCAUUGGGCCAGCCCUACAUCACUUUCAUACCCUCCAACAUUUCAAAUCUGGGAAUGUCCCUGGGAAAUAGGGACACUUGGGGAGUCAGCACUUUCCUGUGUUGGGAGAUGAGGCGUCAGACUAGUGGUAUCUCUCCCAUUGUUCCCUGACUCUUUUUCUAUGAGAUGACAAGCUCUUGAAUGUGAUGGAGUCUACCUCUUGGGUGGCUUCAUCCCACACCCACCAAAAAAGAUCAGACCCAACCUGAGACCCAGACCCAGCAACAGCACAAUAGCCACGGCUAAUUAAAAUAAUGCUGUGCCCCGUCCUGAGCACAGCUUGGCUUUUACUGCAGAUGACUUCAUCAGUGAUAAUGAAUGUGUGAACCUGAAUUCUUUUCCACUGCACUGUUUAUAUAUGCAAGCAUGCUGUUGACACAGAUCUCUUAAUCCCUUCUCUGUGUCCCAUGGACCAUGCUUGUACAAUAGCAGCCCUCGGCCUAUUGCUGGCAUUGCACUUUACUUCUCUGCUGAAACCCCUUUUACCUCAGACUCGCUGACCAGUUGCUGACAGGGUGUUAUUGGCAGGGGAAGCAGAGAGUUGUUUUGCUGGGAAUGUGAACUGUGCAGAGCUGUUUAAGAAUGAGAGGAACAGGACAGGCAGAACAUAGACUUCAAAAUAUGGACAGGGAGAGUGUAGACUCUAAAACAGGAUUCAGAAAUCCAGGAAUGUUCUUGAGAAACCCGGCUGGGCAUCUGAAUUGUUAUUGCUUUGUGUUGGAUUUAUCUUUUUCACAUGGUGUGUGUGUGAAUAUUUCAUAUCCAUUCCAGGAAGAAAGAUGGAUGUUCCUAAUUUGAAAUGCUGUAUUUGUUAUGUGCUAGUUUAAAACGUUUCUAAACCAGCCCUCAAUCUUAUGGAUACCAGGACAGUGAACAGUAGUAAAAUAUGAAAUGCUAUAAUGUAAUUUAAUGAAAACGACAACCAUUCUGGGGCUGUGAGGGACAUUAGCAGCAGCCACCCAGUAAUAAUAUCCUGGUCUGUGUGGGACUAACAUAUAACUGCUUCAACAGUUAUUUGCAGCCCAGGAAACUCUUCUGCUGAACGGCAGGGAGGUGCCCUGGUGUAGUAUCUAUUGUAUAUAUAUAUUUCUAUUUUAUUGUGUUUUUAAUAUGUUGUAUGUCUCCUCAAGAACUUUGAUUAAUAGGUGGGGUAUAAAUACCCUUAAAUAAAUAAAUAAAUGG
This is a non-coding RNA of Podarcis lilfordi (Lilford's wall lizard), 5766 nucleotides long. Lineage: Eukaryota; Metazoa; Chordata; Lepidosauria; Squamata; Lacertidae. The record is from the annotation of a GenBank genome assembly.